Molecule: transfer RNA, 77 nt
Filed under: Ruminococcus sp.
Lineage: Bacteria; Bacillati; Bacillota; Clostridia; Eubacteriales; Oscillospiraceae
Also listed under: 3 other names
Description: tRNA-His
Rfam family: tRNA
About the family: Transfer RNA (tRNA) molecules are approximately 80 nucleotides in length.
Source: RNAcentral
GUGGGUAUAGCUUAGUUGGUUAAAGCGCCAGAUUGUGGCUCUGGAGAGCAUGGGUUCGACUCCCAUUACUCACCCCA